Molecule: long non-coding RNA, 3232 nt
Organism: Helianthus annuus (common sunflower)
Lineage: Eukaryota; Viridiplantae; Streptophyta; Magnoliopsida; Asterales; Asteraceae
Exons: 4
Source: RefSeq, a predicted model, not a curated record
GCCUCUAAAUUUUGCUUUUUGGUGGGAAAAUCCCGUCUGCUUUUUUCCUUAAUUUUGAAGCCCCGAAUUAGUCUACCCGACCCACUAAAUCGGAUCCUAUAAUACCCUUCUUUUUUCUCAUUCCGCUUCUCACUGUUCAUAUUGUUUCUCUGAAACCCUAACUACACUCCCUUUCUCUGAAACCCUAACUACAGCCGCCUUCAACAAUCUUCGUAUCAUCAUCAUCGUUCAAUCCCAGAUCUUCAUCAUCCUUUUUUUAAACCCUAGCUGUCAACACCGUCUUUUUUCAUCUUCUUGUGAGGUUUUUUCUACACAGAUCUAAAACGCUGGUUUAAUUUGAUCCAAGGCAGCACAACGGCAUCAAUCACAAUGGAGUGGUAUCUUCGAUUAGGGUUAUUAGUGGCCGGAAUUAGGUUAAGGAUGCGACUUUUGGCCAGAAUCCUCUUCAGGAUGCGAUUUUUCGCUUGAUUAGAGGAGAGAGAGAGAGAGAAAGGCACACAGGGCGGGUCAAGAAACUCAUAAUGGGUAGUCUACGAUCUUCUCUCCUCAUCUUCUCACAUCGUGAGGUUUCAGGUUUGUCUUUUUUUAAUCCAGUCAUUCAUGAAUCUCUGUAUAGAGGGUAAAAUGAAAUUAGGUUGAACAUAAUAUUUAAUUUAUAAAAAAAUGUUAUUGAAGAAGUUGGAUCUUGAAUGUGUUAAAGCUAUUACUAUUUGUGUGUUGAGAGGAAUUUGUAAAUAAUGAGCAUAAUUAUGAACAUGCUUUGAGUUAGGUAACACGUGAUUUGGUGUUCAAUGGAAUAUUAACAGAUGUCCACUGCGAUGUUAGUGGAUCAAAUUCAUUGCUAGAUCUUGGUGCAGAAUUCAAAUGCUAUAUUUUCUCAAAGUAGUUGCCAUUGGUAAAUCAACUAACUCAUUUAAUCGAUGAAUUCAAUAGAAAACAAAACAAAAAUAAAUACUAAAUGUCUAAUGUGCUGAUGUUACUUUGGGUGAUGCAUUUUCAUAUGCUCUUAUCUAUGUUGCUUUACUCUUUAUUGCGAUGUAAAAUUAUGCUCAAAUCUGGAUAGGCGAUUGUUGACGAAGGUGGAAGCGGUGUGAUUACUGAUUCCUUUGAACAGUUUACGGGAAGUAGCAACCUCAGCUACUUUGAUAAGGUAUGAUUCUUUAUCUGGCUUCAUAUUCUAUGGUUUCCCACUUUCCCUUGGCAAAAAUGUUUUAAAAGUUAUAACAAAUUAAAAGGCCAAUGCAAGUUAGAGCCAGCCAUUUUGACCCAUUUAUUCCGGUUGUGAUUUAUCUCAAAACAAAUAAAAAAACAAUUAGACUACAAGGGAACGGGCCAGCUCUAACUUGCAUUAGCCUUUUAAUUUGUUAUAACUUUUAUAACAUUUAUAUGGUUUUAAAAGAGGUUACAUAACUGAUAUUGUUAAAAUAUAAAUUUACUUAUUUUGAAGCGAAACCGUAUUAGUUUAGAUACAUGUUUACCGAAUAGACAACUCUAAACCCGCUUUCUAAGUAUAUAUCCUCAAACGGGUUUCAAAGUGGCGCAUUGCAUCGGAAUUGAACGGCUAUCACUAAACUUGAUUCAUAUUGGAUCCGAAAACAUUUAUGAUGAUGAACCAGUUCAGAUGUGCACCUGUAGCUAUGCAUCUGGUCUUUUAUGUUUAUAUAUUGUAAAGUCUUGUAUUCAAGUUGAAGUGAAAAUAUUGUAUUUGGUUUUAGAAGUUAAACGAGGAAAACAAAAUUCAUGUAAAAUUAAUAUAACUAAAAAAUCAAAUAACUAAAGGAUUUUAAGUGUUGUUCGUUGUUAGAACAAAAUGACAAUGCUGAAAAACACAAUGUUUAGUUGUUUGGUUGAAUGAAUGGAAGGUAGAAGAAAGGAUCGAGCCCAGGUCACAAACUUAAAAGCGACGAGACCUGGCUAGCCAAGGUAAGCACCUCUUUAUGGUUCCACAUGGAAUUUAAUUUAAUUUAUUUAACAAAUAAAAAAGGUAUUGUUCAUAUUGCAUACCAUUGAAUUCUAUGAUUUUCAAAGAAGUUAUUGCUAGGAUGUCUUCAGGGAUGAGCUCGGUAUCAAUCGGUACCGAAAAUACCGGUACCGAAAAUCCCAAAAAAUGGGUACCGGUACCAAAAAUACCCGGUACAGUUCGGUACUGGUACUGGUAAGGACCGGUAUGUGAAGGUAAAUACCGGUACUGAAAACACUAAAUGUCGGUACCAAAUCGGUACUGAAAAUCAAGUCGGUUCAGGAAUGUUUCCUUUCUUGACAUGAUCAGGUAGCGUAGAGGAUUGGGCAGGCUAGAAGCUUUUAUUCAACUGUCUUCUCCAUAUUUUUUAUUAUUGAGCUAUUUUGUGCUUUCAGUUUCAAAACUAUUGGUUUAUAUUAAUUCUUAAAAGAAUCGAGAUAAAAGUAGAAUUUGUGUUAAAAAAUAUUAGGAAAACAUAUACUGAUCACAAUUUUUUUCGUUUUAGUUUGUUCUUAAAUAUUUUUUUUAGUUUUAUUAGUGAUUGUAUAAGAUUGUUUAUAAUUUUAUGUGAAAUUCUUCAAGUCUAUGACAGUUUAUUUGAAAGCUCACAUCCAAACACCUAAAAAUGAUCAAAGUUUUCAAAUUAAAGUAUACGUACUUUGUACUUUAUGAAUUAUGAUCUCAAUCAUAAAUGUGUUUGGAACAUGUGUUAUCCAUUUUUAAUGUAAUUAUGGUGUUGCUCUAUUCUUGAUGAUUUUUGUUAUCAUGUAGGCAGGUCGUAAGAAAAUUCGAAUUUGAAGAAGUUGAGUAACAUGCCAUGGAUCUUUUUUGGAACGAGUUAUUGUGGAAGGUGUUCUAGCUUGGCGGUUUUCGUUCGUCUAUACUUUAAUUUGAAUUUCUAAGUCGUUUUGUCAUUAUUUUUCUUAUUCAGUACAUUCGCCAAUGUUGCACAAAGGAUUUGAAUAGUGAACAAAGUUUGGAAAGGUAGAGUAUUCGUAGGUCGGAAAGGAGUAACAAGUCGCUAUCGGGGUCGGUUUCCAUACACUCGGAUUUAGAAAACGAUGAUUUGAAGAAACCAUAUGCGAUAUGAUUUUUAGAUGAAAAAGCUUUCUGGGUCAUCAUAGUUGAUUCUUCACUUCAAAUGUACCAUUGUUCUGUUGUAAAUGCAAAUAGACAUAUCCUUUUUACUUUUUUUUGUUGACUAACUUAAUGAAGGUUUGUAAUCGGUUGGUGUGAUUUGAUAAGAGGCGAAAGCAUGUCAAUUUGUGAUUA